GUGGGGAAUAUUGGACAAUGGGGGGAACCCUGAUCCAGCCAUGCCGCGUGUGUGAAGAAGGCCUUUUGGUUGUAAAGCACUUUAAGCGAGGAGGAGGCUACCGAGAUUAAUACUCUUGGAUAGUGGACGUUACUCGCAGAAUAAGCACCGGCUAACUCUGUGCCAGCAGCCGCGGUAAUACAGAGGGUGCAAGCGUUAAUCGGAUUUACUGGGCGUAAAGCGCGCGUAGGUGGCCAAUUAAGUCAAAUGUGAAAUCCCCGAGCUUAACUUGGGAAUUGCAUGCGAUACUGGUUGGCUAGAGUAUGGGAGAGGAUGGUAGAAUGCCAGGUGUAGCGGUGAAAUGCGUAGAGAUCUGGAGGAAUACCGAUGGCGAAGGCAGCCAUCUGGCCUAAUACUGACACUGAGGUGCGAAAGCAUGGGGAGCAAACAGGAUUAGAAACCCGUGUAGUCC
RNAcentral lists this ribosomal RNA (451 nucleotides) under uncultured bacterium. RNAcentral's name for it is "partial 16S ribosomal RNA". It matches the Rfam family "Bacterial small subunit ribosomal RNA", at positions 354 to 796 of the family's 1533-position model. The record is from RNAcentral.